GACGGAGGAUGCAAGCGUUAUCCGGAAUUAUUGGGCGUAAAGGGUGCGUAGGUGGUCAGACAAGUCCCAUGUCAAAGCAUGGUGCUUAACGCCAUAAAGGCGUGGGAAACUGUGUGACUAGAGUACAGCAGGGGCAGGAGGAAUUCCCGGUGUAGCGGUGAAAUGCGUAGAUAUCGGGAAGAACACCAGUGGCGCAAGCGUUCUGCUGGGCUGUAACUGACACUGAGGCACGAAAGCUAGGGGAGCGAAAGGGAUUAGAUACCCCCGUAGUCCACCCCCGUAGUC
Molecule: ribosomal RNA, 285 nt
Filed under: uncultured bacterium
Lineage: Bacteria
Description: partial 16S ribosomal RNA
Rfam family: Bacterial small subunit ribosomal RNA
Source: RNAcentral